CACACCCGUCCUCAACCUGGCUGCCGCCGCCAAGAUAGCCGAUUCCCUCCAGCCGACUGAUUCAGAGGCUGGCAGAGGGAUCAAGCAGAUCCGUGCCCUGCUGCACACGGCGCAGCAGCAGAAUUCGGCGGUCUCCCAGUCGCACAACAGGAUCCAAAACAGUUAUGUUCAUGCGAUCACGCAUCGGCCAGUUUUCAGGCCCGAUUCUCAUCAGCGACACACAGGAGGCAGCCGUUCCAUGAAUCACGAAGAUCGUCGCCGUUCACGCACCCCUCCACGGGGUGGGCCCUACGGGCCCUGACAUCAUGAUGAUCGGCGUUCGGUCGGUGACACUUAUGAUCCAAGUCCCGACACAAGAGGGUACAUCGCCCAGAGGAAGGUCGACAGGAGCCGAGCCCACCGUGAUGGUCACGAUAGAGACCGUCCGAGUGGAAGUAGGACCAUCGUCUCUGGCCCCGAGUGUUUCAGUCGGGCCAUCCGUUCGGCUGACAUCCCUCCCAACUUCCGAUUGGCGACAGGAAUCAGCAAGUUUACAGGAGAAUCCAAGCCAGAAACGUGGUUGGACGACUACCGAGUGGCGUUCCAGAUCGGUGGUGGAGAUGACCAGGUCGCCAUGAAACACCUCCCCCUGAUGCUCGAUGGUUCGGCUCGAGCAUGGUUGAACCAGUUGGCUCCUUCAAGCAUCUACAGCUAGGCAGAUCUGGCCCGAGUCUUCAUCAGGACCUUUGAGGGCACGUGCAAAUGCCCUGCUGGUCUCGUGAAGCUCCAGCACUGCGUCCAGAAGCAGAAUGAGCCCCUGCGCGAUUUCAUCCAGCGUUGGGCAACCCUCUACCACACGAUGGAGAACGUCACAGAGCACCAAGCAGUCUGCGCCUUCAAGGCAGGCGUGCGGUACAGAGAUCUGUACCUGAAGUUCGGUCGGACAGGCGACAUCUCCAUGAGCAAGAUGAUGGAGAUAGCGGCACGCUAUGCAAAUGGCGAAGCAGAGAACCGCAUUCGUAGCGGCAAGCAUAAAGCAGUCGCCGAUGGAGAUGGGAACAACACUCAGAAGCAGAAGCAGAAAGCUCCGUCCACUCCGCAGGCAGAUGCUGCAGCCAUUACCAAUGCCAAGUUCAAGGGCAAGGGGAAGGCUCAGUCCACCCCCAAGAAGAAGCAGUUCGAAAACCACAUCCUGGAUCAGCCAUGUCCAAUCCACACGAAGAUGGACAAAGAAGGCAACGCCAUAUUCCCGAAGCAUACCACUCGGCAAUGUCGCCUCCUGAUCCAAGGGUUCGGCGAAGGGCAGCCGAGUGAAAAGGACAAUGAACAGGAUGGUGAGGACAAGGAGGAUCAGUUCCCCCAAGUCCAUGCAACACUGAUUAUUUUUGCUGACGUGGAAAGCAAGAGUCGACUGAAGCUGGUGAACAGGGAGGUGAACAUGGCCACCCCAACCAACCCCACGUUCCUCAAAUGGUCUCAGACUGCGAUCACCUUUGACCAGUCGGAUCAUCCAGCACACGUGCCCAACCCAGGGAGCCAGGCUCUGGUCGUCGACCCCGUGGUGGAAGGAGUUCGACUGCGCAAAGUCCUCAUGGACGGCGGCAGCGGCUUGAACAUCAUGUAUGCCGACACUCUCAAAGGGAUGGGCAUUCCGAUGUCCAAACUUAGCGAGAGCAGCAUGCAGUUCCACAGAGUCGUCCCUGGACGAAAGGCCAAGUCACUCGGCCAGAUCGCGUUGGACGUCGUUUUCGGCUUCGACAAGAACUUCCGCAAGGAAAAGCUGACAUUCGAGGUGGUGGACUUCCAGAGUGUAUACCACGCGAUUCUGGGCCGUCCGGCGUAUGCGCGUUUCAUGGCCCGUCCAUGUUACGUGUACCUGAAGCUGAAGAUGCCAGGUCCCAAAGGUGUGAUCACUAUCACAGGCAAUCGGCAGCGGGCCGAGGAGUGUGUGCAGCAGGGGUUGAGGAUCGCCGAUCAGCAAAUGGCCAUCCUCGAGCUGGACGAGUACAAGAAGACAGUCGACCCCGCUGACUUGAUGCGUUCGAAGAAGCCAACUUCGGAGUCCGCAUUCCAGUCGGCGGGAGACACGAAGAAGGUCAGCAUCCCCCCGACAGACGACGCCGCUGCCCCGACGAACAUCUCCACCACCCUUGAUCCAAAAUAGGAAGCCGAGCUCAUCCAAUUCCUCCGUGAGAACUGGGACAUUUUCGCAUGUAAGCCCGCUGACAUGCCAGGUGUACCCAGGGAGUUAGCUGAGCACCGAUUGCAUGUGGAUCCUGCUGCUCGGCCUGUCCGAGAACGCCUGCGUCGGUCCGCCGCGCGCAAGAGGAAGGCAAUCGGAGAGGAAGUGGCUAAACUUUUGGAAGCCAACUUCAUUCGCGAGGUACACCACUCCGAGUGGCUCGCCAAUGUUGUCAUGGUGCCCAAGAAGGACAAGUCUCUCCGAAUGUGCAUCGACUUCAAGCAUCUGAAUAAGGUCUGCCCGAAAGACCAUUUCCCGCUCCCCCUCAUCGAUCAAAUUGUCGAUUCGACUGCGGGUUGCGAGCAUUUGUCAUUCCUUGAUGCCUACUCGGGCUAUCAUCAGAUCCGUCUGUAUGGCCCCGAUGAAUUAAAAACAGCCUUCAUCACCCCAUUCGGGUGCUUCUGCUACAUCACUAUGCCAUUCGGUUUGAAGAAUGCAGGAGCAACUUUUAUGCGCAUGAUCCAAAAAUGUCUCCUUGACCAGAUCGGUCGGAAUGUGGAAGCGUAUAUGGAUGAUAUCGUAGUCAAGUCACGCAAAGGUUCCGGCCUGCUGACUGACUUGGCAGAAACAUUCGCUAACCUUCGUAGGUACGAUAUCAAGCUCAACCCUGCCAAGUGUUCAUUCGGUGUUCCCAGCAGAAAGUUACUCGGUUUCUUUGUUUCCGAACGAGGGAUCGAUGUCAACCCCGAAAAGAUCGGGACCAUCGUCCGAAUGGAGCGGCCGGUCAGAAUACACAAUGUUCAAAGGCUCACAGGUUGCCUAGCGGCUUUGAGCAGGUUUAUCAGUCGACUCGGCGAGAAAGCGCUACCUCUGUACCGACUCAUGAAGAAAUCAGAUACUUUAGAGUGGACAGACGAAGCCCAAAUUGCAUUCGACGACCUCAAAGCCCUGCUUUCCACCCAGCCGGUUCUUACUACUCCGCUCAGUAAAGAACCCCUUCUUCUGUACAUCGCGGCUACAAAUCAAGUCGUCAGCACUGUUCUCACAGUCGAACGCGAAGAAGAAGGCAAGGCAUACAAGGUUCAGCGGCCAGUGUACUAUGUCUCCGAAGUCCUGACUCCUUCCAAGCAGAGGUAUCCCCAUUAUCAAAAGCUUAUUUACGGGAUUUACAUGACUGCAAAGAAGGUGGCUCAUUAUUUCCAAGACCAUUCGGUGACCGUCGUUUCUGAUGCUCCGUUGUCGGAAAUCCUCCACAAUCGGGACGCAUCAGGCCGAGUGGCGAAGUGGGCAAUGGAGAUGUUAUACUGCGACAUCAAGUUCGAGGCCAAGAAAGCUAUAAAGUCUCAAGCUCUGGCUGACUUCAUAGCAGAAUGGGUAGAACAACAGCAACCGACCCACAUCUACUCGGCUCAUUGGACAAUGUUCUUCGAUGGGUCCAAGAUGUUGAAUGGCUCCGGCGCUGGCGUUGUGAUCAUAUCGCCAAAAGGUGACAAACUCAAGUAUGUGUUGCAGAUACAUUUCGAUUCCUCCAACAACGAGGCAGAGUAUGAAGCUCUCCUUUAUGGAUUGUGCAUGGCCAUCACACUCGGCGUCCGUCGCCUGAUGGUCUAUGGAGAUUCAUAUUUGGUGGUUGAUCAAGUGAUGAAGGAGUGGGACGUAAGGAACCCCACCAUGACUACAUACUGCAACGCAGUGAGGAAGCUCGAGAAAAAGUUUGAAGGUCUGGAACUGCACCAUGUUCCGCGACUGAAAAACCAAGCAGCUGAUGAGUUGGCGAAACUUGGAUCCACUCGGAGACCAGUCCCGAGUGAUGUCUGCCUCGAGCACCUACACCUUCCCUAAGUUAAAGAAGAUCCCUUCACAGAGGAACCAGUACAACCAAAGAGCUCGACAGAUCCGACUGAAGUCGAGGUCCCCGCUGUGGUUGAUCUGAUCAUGGAGAUUCUUGCUAUCAUCCCCGAUUGGACUAUGUCGUUCAUUGCGUACAUCCUAAGGCGAGAAUUACCAGAAGAUGAGGUCCAAGCCAGACAGAUCGUCUGCAGGUCGAAGUCGUUCACCGUCAUUGAUGGCCAGUUGUACAAAGAAAGUGUUUCAGGCGUCCUUCAAUGAUGCAUCUCCCCUGAGGAGGGGCAGUUAAUCCUGGAAGAAAUUCAUUCGGGAACCUGCGGUCAUCAUGCCUCCUCAAGAGCAAUCGUCGCCAAAGCAUUCAGAGUUGGUUUCUUCUGGUUGCAGGCGAAUGAAAUGGCGAAGGAUAUGGUCGACCGAUGCGAAGGCUGUCAGUUCUACUCCAUGGUUAAACUCUUUCAGUCUAGUUUCUACCUCAUCUGAUGAGUACCUUGAUGCGGAGGAUCACUAUGAGGACAAUGACUUAGAUCAUCCUAUGUUUGCCAAAAUAAACAAAUUUGUGUGCUCUCUUAAAGGAAAGAAGCUCACUAUGUUUCGCAUACUUAUGGAAAUGGUGAGUAAGCACACCAAUACCAUCAAGGAACUCGAAACCCUCGUCACUGAGUAGAAGGAAAGGAAUGAAAUCCUUGAGCAGAAAGUCUUGUAUGAGGAAGCACAAAAUGAUGCAUUAUGCUCAAAAGUUGGUGAAAACCUUGAUAAACAUGCUAACGAUCUUGCCUCCUUGAAAAAGGCUGAAUCUGUGUGCAAAGAGUUAUUAAAUGAUAAAAACAGACUUGUGAAUUCUCAUGCUUCUCUUUCUAAGGCCUGUGAGCACCUAUCCUUGUCUCUCAAGGACAAGGAAGAGAAACUCACUGUUCUUACAAAGAGCUUUGAGGCACUCAAGGUUACUUACCUUGACACUCUAGCUAAGGCUUACUCCUCACCUAUUAUUAAUGUUGAUACCUGCACUGCUAACUCUAGUAGUGAACUGGCAUCUAUUCUUGAGGAAAACUGUUCGCUAAAGGCACAGCUAGAUAGAGGUCUCAUGACAUGUGCACAAGGACAAAAGACUCUCAAUGAGAUCUGAAGUCAACGCAAUGAGGUCUUUGCCAAGGAAGGGCUUGGGUUUAAUCCAAGCAUCGCCAAGAAAAGUGUAUCUCCUCUCAAGUGCACCACCCCGCUAACAUUUGUACGAGAGGGACACAAGGAGAAAGGUAAGGUUGUGAGUGGGUCGGCCACUAGGGGUUUGCCCACUCUCAACAGGACAACAGAGUUCAUGCCUCCAUCCUAUGUACUUCGCAAAUCAAAGGAAAGAGAGGUUUAUGCUAAAUUCGUUGGUCCCUGUAAUGCAUUCCGGUUUUAUGCUAUUUGGGUCCCUAAGACUCUUGUAACUAAUGUGAGAGGCCCCAUGACGAAAUGGGCACCUCAAACCAAGUCUUAAUUCGUGUACAUGAUGUUUUCUCCGGAGGAGUCAAAUGGGUGAUCGACAGUGGAUGCACCAAUCAUAUGACCAGAGAUAGUAACUUGCCCUAUGACUUCAUGCAAGCCAUUCCACCAUACAUGAGCAUUAUAUUCGGAGGAGGGUCGAAAGGACAGGUAAUUGGGUUGGGCAAGGUGGCAAUCACUAAUGACAUGUCUCUUGCAAAUGUCAUGCUUGUCCAAUCUCUUCAAUAUCAUUUGCUUUCAGUUUGCCAAUUGGCUUCCCUUGGUUAUGACACACUAUUUGGACUAACGGAUGUGAAAGUCUUUAAGAGAUACACUCUCGAAGUGGCCGUUGUUGGAGAGUUGGAUGGCAACCUUUACACGGUUGAUUUCUCGAAAGAGAGCACUUUCCAUACAACUUGUCUGAUGGCCAAGGCUGACAUGGGAUGGCUAUGGCAUCGCCGGCUCGCCCAUGUCGGCAUGGGAAAUCUUCAAAGUCUCUUAAAAGGCAAUCAAAUCCUUGGACUAACCAAUGUGUCUUUUAAGAAAGAUCGUGUGUCCAGUGCAUGCAUAGCUGGGAAGCAACAUCAAUCAAAACACCCACCCAAGAAUAUUGUAUCCACCUCAAGGCCUUUAGAGCUCCUUCAUGUGGAUCUGGUUGGGCCUCCUUCAUGGGAUAGUCUUGGUGGGAAAAAGUAUGGACUAGUCAUUGUUGAUGAUUACUCAAGAUACACAUGGGUAUUCUUUCUCAAGUCCAAGGAUGAGACGAAGAUCACCUUCAUUGAUUUUGCCAAACAAGUCCAGCGCAAGUUUGACAAGGCCAUCAAGGCAAUAAGAAGUGAUAAUGGCUCCGAGUUCAAGAAUUACACUCUAGAAGAAUUUCUUAGUGAUGAGGGAAUUGAACAUCAGUACUCUGCACCUUACACCCCUCAGCAAAAUGGUGUAGCAGAGAGGAAGAAUCUGACACUUGUGGAAAUGGCAAGGUCCAUGUUAGACGAAUACAAGUCACCGCAUAGUUUUUGGGCUGAGGUUGUCAACACAGCAUGUCAUGCAUCAAACCGGCUUUUCCUUCGACCAAUAUUGGAAAAUACUCCAUAUGAGCUCCUAACCGGGAACAAGCCCAAUGCCAAGUACUUUCGUGUAUUUGGAUGCAAGUGUUUCAUCCUCAACAAACGGGACCGGUUAGGAAAAUUUCAAUCCAAAACACCUGAAGGGAUUUUUGUUGGCUAUGGAUCAAACUCUCACGCCUACAGAGUCUACAACAAAUCCAAUGGAUGUGUUAUAGAAACCUGUGAUGUGAUGUUUGAUGAAUUUAACCGCUCCCAUGGGGAGCAAGUUGACCUAAGUGAUGCAGGUGAAGAAGAUUCCUCGCAAGAUAUCUUGAACAUGGGUGUAGGUGCACUUCUUCCCAUGGAAUAAGAACCUCAUGAUGAUGACUUUCUCAUCCUCAGGACAGUUCACUGCACGUACGUCCACAAGAUACUAGCACACAUAUCAUGUCAGUUGUUCAGGAUCAAGUGGGAGAACAUGUCUCUCACCCUGAUCACACUCAAGAACAAGUUGACCUUCAAGAGCAAGACCAAAGUAUGGAUAUUGUUGAUGAUGAACCUCAACAGGUGCAACGCGAAGAGGAAUAUCUUCCACCGCACGUUAAUGAUCCAUGUGUUGAGGACGAUGAUGAUGGAAACGAAGUCAAACCUCGUGAAACCAUGACCUCCAUCAUGCCACGUGUGGCCGGUCGUGUUGAUGUUGAUCAAAUCCUCACCGGCGUGUCGGAAGGUAGAGUGACUCGUAAACAUUUAACAAACUUUUGUGCUCACUUUUCGUUUGUCUCUAGUACUGUGCCACACAGGGUUCAUGAUGCAUUGUGUGACAAUGACUGGCUCCUUGCUAUGCAAGAAGAGUUAAACAGUUUUACACGCAACGAAGUAUGGUUAUUGGUAAAACGACCAACUGAGGAACACAAUGUCAUUGGAACUAAAUGGAUCUUCAAGAACAAGGAAGAUGAGAAUGGGACUGUCCUCCGCAACAAGGCAAGGUUAGUAGCACAGGGGUACUCCCAAGUUGAAGGUUUGGACUUUGGUGAGACUUUCGCCCCUGUUGCUCGUCUUGAAUCCAUUCGCAUUCUAUUGGCCUAUGCUGCUUUCAUUGGUUUUACUUUGCAUCAAAUGGAUGUGAAAAGUGCUUUCCUUAACGGUCCUCUACAAGAAGAGGUAUAUGUAUCACAACCACCUGGGUUUGUUGACCCCAAUUACAAAGACCAUGUGUACAAACUUCACAAGGCUCUGUAUGGCCUCAAACAAGCACCCCGUGCUUGGUACGAUCAUCUUAAGAAGUUCUUACUCGAUGAUGGCUUUGUGAGAGGGGUGAUCGAUCCCACUCUUUUUACUAAGAGGGAAAACGGUGAUUUGAUCUUAUGCCAAAUCUAUGUGGAUGACAUCAUUUUUGGUUCUCCUAACAUCCAUUUAUGCAAGAAGUUUGCGGCCUCCAUGACCAAGACCUUUGAGAUGUCACUCAAUACGGACUUGAAGUUCUUUCUUGGGUUUCAAAUACAACAAUUUCAAGAAGGAAUUUUCUUGUCUCAAACUAAAUACCUCAAGGACAUUCUAGAAAAAAUUAAUAUGACAAAUGCUAAACCAAUGAAGAUGCCCAUGGCCACAGAUGUUGUUCUAAAUGAAGGCACCAACGGUAUUCCUUUUGACCCAUCUACUUACCGCUCUAUGAUUGGUUCGUUGCUUUAUCUUUGUGCAUCUAGACCGGACAUCAUGUUAAGUGUAGGCAUAUGUGCUAGAUUCCAAGCUUCCCCUAGGGAAAGCCAUCAUACGGCGGUUAAGCAUAUUCUUAGAUACCUUGUUCACACCCCAAAGUUAGGCCUAUGGCACCCUAAGGAUGCAAAGUUCGAUCUCAUUGGGUACUCCGAUGCGGAUUGGGCUGGUGACAAAGUGGGACGGAAAUCCACUUCCGGUGCAUGUCAGUUUCUUGGAUGUUCCUUGGUAAGUUGGUCCUUGAAAAAGCAGAAUUGUGUUUCUCUCUCCACGGCCGAGGCCGAAUAUAUUGCAGCCGCAAGCUGUGCAACCCAACUGCUAUGGAUGAGGCAAACCCUAAAGGAUUAUGGCAUCACCUAUUGACACGUGCCUCUUCUCUGUGAUGAUGAAAGUGCCAUCAAGAUCUCCGAGAACCCCAUUGAUCACCCUCGCACAAAACACAUUAAUAUUAGGUAUCAUUUCUUGAGAGACCAUGUGCAAAAGGGUGACAUUGAUAUUGCUCAUGUGGUUACCGACAUGCAGCUCGCUGACAUCUUCACCAAGCCACUAUGCGUAGCAAGAUUCUGUCAACUUAGGCGUGAACUUGGUAUCUUGGAGCUUGAUAACUGUCACGCCCAAGAUGCGACCCUAUCCUCAAUUUGGCACGAAGGCCUCGUCAGGGAUAGAAGCGCAUCUCGUCAUGUCGCAAGAAUGGAUACCGUUACAAGUACAUGUACUGAAAAGAAGAGAGAUAUAUAUAGAAUUUGGCUUACACUCGCCACGAGCUACAUCAGAGUCACAGUAGUACAAAUACAUAAUCAUCAUGAAGAAGAGCAGGGUCUGACUACGGACGAAAACAAAAGAGAAAAGAAGAACGACGUCCAUCCUUGCUAUCCCAGGCUGCCGGCCUGGAAACCAUCCUAGACCGAUGAAGAAGAAGAAGANAGAAGAAGCAACUCCAAAUGAACAAUCAACGCGCUCGCAUCGAGUAACCUUUACCUGUACCUGCAAUUGGUGUUGUAGUAAUCUGUGAGCCACAGGGGACUCAGCAAUCUCAUUUCCAAAGGUACCAAGACUAGCAAAGCUUAAUGGGUGAGGCAUGGUUAAGUGGUCAGGUUGCAGCAGCGACUAAGCAUAUAUUUGGUGGCUAACUUACGAGUACAAUAAUAAAGAGGGGGAGAUCUAUGCAUAACGGACGUGACUACUCAUGAUCAAAUGAAUGAUCGUGAACACCUACCUACGUCAGGCAUAACCCCACCAUGUCCUCGAUCGGAGAAAGUACUCACGAAAGAGACAGUCACGGUUACGCACACAGUUGGCAUAUUUUAAUUAAGUUAACUUCAAGUUAUCUAGAACCAGUGUUAAACAAGUUUCCACGUUACCACAUAACCGCGGGCACGGCUUUCCGAAAAAUUUAACCCUGCAGGGGUGCUCCAACUAGUCCAUCACAAAUUACCACAAGCCGCAUAGAAAUCCUCGAUCACGACACUCGCNNNNNNNNNNNNNNNNNNNNNNNNNNNNNNNNNNNNNNNNNNNNNNNNNNNNNNNNNNNNNNNNNNNNNNNNNNNNNNNNNNNNNNNNNNNNNNNNNNNNGUAUCUCUGGGCCCACUCGGUAGAACAUCAUCAUGAGCUCAAUGUGACUAAGGAGUUAGUCACACGAUGACGUGCUACGGAACGAGUAAAGAGACUUACUGGUAACGAGAUUGAACAAGGUAUAGGUAUACCGACGAUCGAAUCUCGGGCAAGUUCUAUACCGACAGACAAAGGGAAUCGUAUACGGGAUUGAUUGAAUCCUUGACAUCGUGGUUCAUCCGAUGAGAUCAUCGUGGAGCAAGUGGGAGCCACCAUGGGUAUCCAGACCCCGCUGAUGGUUAUUGGCCAGAGAGGUGUCUCGCUCAUGUAUGCCUGUCUCCCGAACCCGUAGGGUCUACACACUUAAGGUUCGAUGACGCUAGGGUUAUAGGGAAUUGUUAUACGAGGUUACUGAAAGUUGUUCGGAGUCCCGGAUGAGAUCCCGGACGUCACGGGGAGCUCCGUAAUGAUCCGGAGGUAAAGAUUGAUAUAUAGGACGGAUGGUUUUGGACACCGGAAGUGUUUCGGGCGUCACCGGUAAUGUACCGGGACCACCGGAGGUGGCCCCGGGGACCACCGAAGGGGGGCAACGACCCCGGGAGGCUAGAUGGCCUAAGUGGGGAAGGGAACCAGCCCCUAGGUGGGCUGGUGCGCCCCCCACCCAGCCCAUGCGCAUCAGAGAAAGGGGGAAGGGGGAAACCCUAGGCGCAGUUGAGGCCCAAGGCCCACCUAGGGUGCGCCCCCCCUUUCCCUGCCCUGGCCGCCGCCCCCCUCCCAUCUGGUGGCUGCCGCACCACCUAGGUGGGGAACCCUAGGGGUGGCGCACCCCCUCCCCCUCCUCCUAUAAAUAUAGAGGGGUUUUGUCCAUUGGAGAACACACUUUGCCCUCUCUCUCGGCGCAGCCCUGCUCUUCUUCCNGCGCGGGAGACGUCACCGGGCUGCACGUGUGUUGAACGCGGAGGUGCCGUUGUUCGGCACUAGAUCGGAAUCGCUGCGAGUACGACUCCAUCAACCGUGUUCUAGCAACGCUUCCGCUUAGCGAUCUUCAAAGGUAUGAAGAUGCUCUUACCCCUCUUUCGUUGCUGGUCUCUCCAUAGGAAGAUCUGAAUAUGCGUAGGAAAAUUUUGAAUUUAUGCUACGUUACCCAACAGUGGCAUCCAACCAGGUUUUCUAUGCGUAGAUUCUAUGCACGAGUAGAACACAAAAGUUGUGGGCGAUGAUUUGUCAAUUUGCUUGCCGCUACUAGUCUUAUUCUUUUCCGGCGGUAUUGUGGUAUGAAGCGGCCCGGACCGACUUUACACGUACACUUACGUGAGACUGGUUCCACCGACAGACAUGCACAUCGUGCAUAAAGGUGGCUAGCGGGUGUCUCUCUCUCCUACUCUAGUCGGAUUGGAUUUGAUGAAAAGGGUCCUUAUGAAGGGUAAAUAGCUUUGGCAUAUAAUCGUUGUGGCUGUCACGUAGGUAAGAAGGCGUUCUUGCUAGAAACCCAAAUCAGCCACGUAAAACUUGCAACAACAAUUAGAGGACGUCUAACUUGUUUUUGCAGGGUUUGACAUGUGAUGUGAUAUGGCCAAAGUUGUGAUGUUGCAUGUAUAAUGUAUGAGAUGAUCAUGUUAUUGUAAUAGGUUUCACGACUUGCAUGUCGAUGAGUAUGACAACCGGCAGGAGCCAUAGGAGUUGUCUUAAUUUAUUGUAUGAGAUGCAACGCCAUGUGCUUACUACUUUUACUUCAUUGCUAACGGUUAGCUAUAGUAGUAGUGAUAGUAGUAGUUGGCGUGACGACUUCACGGAGACACGAUGAUGGAGAUCAUGAUGAUGGAGAUCAUGGUGUCACGCCGGUGACGAUGAUGAUCAUGCGAUGCCUGAAGAUGGAGAUCGAAAGAGCAAAGAUGAUAAUGGCCAUAUCAUGUCACUAUAUGAUUGCAUUGUGAUGUUUAUCAUGUUUUACAUCUUAUUGCUUAGAACGACGGUAGCAUAAUAAGAUGAUCCCUCUUGAAAUUUCGAGAACGUAUUCCCCUAAGUGUGCACCAUUGCGAAGGUUCGUUGUCUCGAAGCACCACGUGAUGAUCGGGUGUGAUAGAAUCUAAGGUUCGCAUACAACGGGUGUAAGCCAGAUUUACACAGGCGAAACACCUAGGUUGACUCGACGAGCUUAGCAUGUACAGACAUGACCUCGAAUACAAGAGACCGAAAGGUCGAACAUGAUUCGUAUGGUUGAAUACGAUCAGCAUGGAGUUGCUCACCAUGGUGACUAGUCCGUCUCACGUGAUGAUCGGACACGGGUUAGUCAACAUGGAUCAUGUAUCACUUAGAUGACUAGAGGGAUGUCGAUUUAAGUGGGAGUUCAUAUUUAAUUUGAUUAAAUGAACUUAAUUGUCAUGAACUUAGUCUAAAAGUUGUCUUUAUAAAUAUUGUAGAUGUCCAACGUCAACCUCAAUUUCAACGCAUUCCUAGAGAAAAACAAGCUGAAAGAUGAUGGUAGCAACUAUGCGGACUGGGUUNNNNNNNNNNNNNNNNNNNNNNNNNNNNNNNNNNNNNNNNNNNNNNNNNNNNNNNNNNNNNNNNNNNNNNNNNNNNNNNNNNNNNNNNNNNNNNNNNNNNCGAGACACCUCUCUGGCCAAUAACCAUCAGCGGGGUCUGGAUACCCAUGGUGGCUCCCACUUGCUCCACGAUGAUCUCAUCGGAUGAACCACGAUGUCAAGGAUUCAAUCAAUCCCGUAUACGAUUCCCUUUGUCUGUCGGUAUAGAACUUGCCCGAGAUUCGAUCGUCGGUAUACCUAUACCUUGUUCAAUCUCGUUACCAGUAAGUCUCUUUACUCGUUCCGUAGCACGUCAUCGUGUGACUAACUCCUUAGUCACAUUGAGCUCAUGAUGAUGUUCUACCGAGUGGGCCCAGAGAUACCUCUCCGUCACACGGAGUGACAAAUCCCGAUCUCGAUUCGUACCAACCCAAUAGAUACUUUCGGAGGUACCCGUAGUGCACCUUUAUAGUCACCCAGUUACGUUGUGACGUUUGAUACACUUAAAGCACUCCUACGGUAUCCGAGAGUUGCACAAUCUCAUGGUCGAAGGAAAAGAUACUUGACAUUAGAAAAUCAUUAGCAUACGAACAAUACGAUCUAGUGCUAGGCUUAGGAUUGGGUCUUGUCCAUCACAUCAUUCUCCCAAUGAUGUGAUCCCAUUAUCAAUGACAUCUAAUGCCCAUGAUCAGGAAACCAUGAUCAUCUAUUGAAUAACGAGCUAGCCAACUAGAGGCUUGCUAGGGACACAUUGUGAUCUAUUUAUUCACACAUGUAUUACUGUUUCCUGUUAAUACAAUUAUAGCAUGAACAAUAGACGAUUAUCAUGAACGAGGAAAUAUGAUAAUAACCAUUUUAUUAUUGCCUCUAGGGCAUAUUUCCAACACCUAUUGCAUAUGGUGGGUGGGUCUAUGCAGUCUCUUCGUCAGUUGUCCCCUCCACCACUCCUUUCUUCUUCCUCAUCUCUCCGCCGCCAUAACUCAUUUUCUUCUCCAUCAUCUCCGACGUUCCCUCUCUUUCCUGCUGCAGCACCUUUGGCAUACGCACUUGGCAAGUGUGCCGCGACGAGACCCCUCUCCAGCAGACGCCCAGCUCUAGGAACUCGAACUGCGUGUUGUAGGUGCUGCAAGCAUAGGUUGCCGAGUUGGAACGCUAGCCACCCCGUGUCGCGAACUGGUUACACCGGUGAGCUGAAAAUGGCGCACGCGACCUGCCGUGCUACAACCAUUGAUACAAUAUGUUGGAACCCGCCGACAGAGGAGCUGCAACCGGCCAAGCCAAGAGCUGGAACCGACGCAUGUUGUGCUGGGCAUCGCCACACGUGCCAUGUUAGAACCAUGUUCUGGCGAUGCUAGAACCGUGUUCCAGAGAUGUUGGAACCAUGUUCUAGCAAUGUUGGAACCGUGUUUUAGCAAUGCUGGAAUGGGGGUCGGUGAUGCUUAAAAGCUUUAGGACAGCGGGCAAAAUGCUGGAACCAUUACCGACAAAAGUUGCAAUAGUCGUCAGAUUUUGCUACCACCGGCAAAGGAUUCUGCUACAUGCUUCAUGGCAGAGCUGCAACCCUGCGACGGCGAUGACUUUUUUUCCACAGUCGUAGUUAUUUUUCGCUACCACUGGUGAUGUAUUUUGCCACAUCCAUUAAAUGUCGUUUAGUAUUGGCCGUCCAUAAUCCCGUGCAACUAGUGCCGACGCCGAGUGCGACCGCGGUUGUGCAUCGUGGUGUUGCAUAAUGAUGCAUCAACGGCUGGAGUUGCAGCCAGUUAGGGCGGAGUUGCAAGCGAAAUUGAUGAGCGGGGAAGUUCUUCGACAAGCAGCGGAGGGCUGCGAGUCGUCGGAGUGUGAGCGCCGACGACCGACGUCUGUUUGCCCUCGCGGAGCUGCACACGGAGGCGUAGGAGCGUGGGGUAGGGUGUGGGGAUUUUUUUCUUUGAUAUGCGAUGGGAGAUAGAGGACGAGUCAAGGAUGAAGGAGAGAGCUAGAUCGGAUGACUGAUCUAUGCCAGAUCGAACGGUUGGGGUUCGAGUGGCCGAAACUUUCAGCUAGUACUGCCCUUUCUCUAUCUAUUCUAACACACCAUGAAGCUUGGUGGAGAGUUCAUCCACUACCUCUAUAAAAGCACGAAGAGGCAGAUCCAACUCACCAUCUCACCUGCCUGAUUACGUCAUCAAUCGUCAAGAAUUAUCAUUAAAAAAUUCAUCCCAGCUAACGAAACCAAUUGAAGCCAAUCCCAUCGGCGAGGAAACCCACCCACACUUCCACGCCCGGGAACCGCUCACAAAAUCACCUCGCUUGAGAACUCAUCCAGGCCUAGCUCNNNNNNNNNNNNNNNNNNNNNNNNNNNNNNNNNNNNNNNNNNNNNNNNNNNNNNNNNNAGCCGCCGUCGCUGCCUCGCGCAACAACCACAACCAUUGCCCUCGCCUCACAUAGCGACGCGUCGCCCGUCGCUCGGCCAACCCGGACAAGCAGGACAAGGGCGCAGGGCAAGGAAAGGACAUGGGCGAUCGCAAUGAACCCUCCUUUCAUGGUAUUUAUCAUUUUUAUGCGAUGAACGCAACCUGUAGGUGCCUCCGUUCAUGAUUUGCAUAUCCAGAAUUUGUUGUCUGGCCAUCUAAGAGAAUUAGCUCACUACGCUAAGGAAUUAGGACAAUUCAGUUACAUGAUCUGACUGUUUAUAGAGGGAUCUAAAAGACUGAUGAUAUGCAAAUAUGAUCUCAAGUCUCAAAGUGCAUGUUGUUCUAUGUUCUUGGGCAUGUACAAAGGCUUAGAUAAACACCACCAAGGUUGAGGACGAAAAAGAUUGCACACACUAACCAUUAUUAUCUUCUUGUGAUAAUUUUAGGCUUGUACGAGGAAACUUGAAGAGGCAAUUUUAGUUGGUGGUGUGCUUUAAUAUUUCAUAUUGUUGUUCGUGUGUUCCUGUUGGAAAUAUGCCCUAGAGGCAAUAAUAAAGUGGUUAUUAUUAUAUUUCCUUGUUCAUGAUAAUUUUCUAUUGUUCAUGCUACAAUUGUAUUAACUGGAAACAGUAAUACAUGUGUGAAUAUAUAGACCACACCAAGUCCCUAGUGAGCCUCUAGUUGACUAGCUCGUUGAUCAAAGAUGGUUAAUGUUUCCUAACCAUAGACAAGUGUUCUCACUUGAGUUCUAGAAUGGUCUGGAAACGAAGAUUGAUAUAUAGGAAGUUGGUAGUUCGUAGUAUCAUUUCCCUAGACCAUGAGAUUGUGCAACUCCCGGAUACCGUAGGAGUGCUUUGGGUGUAUCAAGAAUCACAACGUAACUGGGUGAUUAUAAUGGUGCACUACAGGUAUCUCUGGAAGUGUAUGUUGGGUGGGCACGAAUCGAGAUUGGGAUUUGUCACUCCGUAUGAAGGAGAGGUAUCUCUGGGCCCACUGAGUAAUACAUCAUCCUAUUGAGCUCAGUGUGACUAAGGAGUUAGUCACAGGAUCAUGUGUUACGGAACGAGUAAAAAAACUUGCCUCUAACGAUAUUGAACAAGGUAUGGGGAUACCGACGAUCGGAUUUCGGGCAAGUUAUAUACCGAUAGACAAAGGGAAUUGCAUACGGGAUUGAUUGAAUCCCCGACAUCGUGGUUCAUCCGAUGAGAUCAUCGUGGAACAUGUGGGAGCCAACAUGGAUAUCCAGAUCCCGCUAUUGGUUAUUGACCGGGGAGGUGUCUCGGUCAUGUCUGCAUGGUUCCCGAACUCGUAGGGUCUACACACUUAAGGUUCGAUGACGCUAGAGUUGUAAUGAGAAUAAUAUGUGGUUAUCAAAAGUUGUUCGGAGCCCCGGAUGAGAUCCCAGACGUCCCGAGGAGCUCCGGAAUGGUCAGUAGGUAAAGAUUCAUAUAUAGGAAGUGGAGAUUAGAUCACAGGAAAUGUUUCGAGGAUCAUCGGUAUUGUACCGGGACUACCGGAAGGGUUACGGGGGUUCACCAGCCCCGGAGAGCCACGUGGGCCAAAAGUGGAAGGAAACCAACCCCUAGAUGGGCUGGUGCGUCACCCACCAAGGCCCAAGGAACCUAGGGCUAGCAACCCUAGGGCGUGGAGGUGGCCCACCUCCAACUUGGGAGGCAAGCCACCUCCCACCUGGCCACCGCCCCCUGCUUGGACCGCCGCCCCUCCUAGGGUUACCUAGGGUGGCCGGCCUGCCUUUCCCCUCCCCUAUAUAUACCCAAGGGUUUUGGGGCUGCAACACACAACUUUUCUCUCCCUCUUGGUGCAACCCUACCCUCUCUCUUUCUCCUCCUCCGCGGUGCUUGGCGAAGCCGUGCCGGAGAACCACAUAGCUACACCGCCACCACGCCGACGUGCUGUCGAAGCUCUCCAUCAACUUCCCCUCUCCCCUUGCUGGUUCAAGGUAGAGGAGACAUCAUCGGUUUGCACGUGUGUUGAACGCGGAGGCGUCGUUGUUCGGCGCUUUGGAUCACAUCUACCGCGAUUUGAAUCGCUAUGAGUACGACUCCAUCACCCGCAUUCCUAGUAACGCUUCCGCUUAGCAAUCUUCAAAGGUAUGAAGAUGCUCUACCCCUUGCUCGUUGCUAGCAUCUCCUAGAUUGAUCUUGCUGUUUCGUUGCUAGCAUCUCCUAGAUUGAUCUUGCCGCGCCCGAAGAUGGAGAUCAAAGGCGCAAGAUGAUAAUGGCCAUAUCAUGUCACUAUAUGAUUUGCAUGUGAUGUUUAUCAUGUUGUUCAUCUUAUUGCUUAGAAUGACGGUAGCAAAGAUAAGAUGAUCCCUCGUUAAAUUUCAAGAUAAGUAUUCCCCUAAGUGUGCACCGUUGUGAAGGAUCGUUGUCUUGAAGCACCAUGUGAUGGUCGGGUGUGAUAGAUUCUAACGUUCGCAUACAAUGGGUGUAAGCCAGAUUUACACACACAAAACACUUAGGUUGACUUGACGAGCCUAGCAUGUACAGGAAUGGCCUCAGAAUACGAGAGACCAAAAGGUCGAACAUGAGUCGUAUGGAUGAUACGAUCAACAUGGAGAUGUUCACCAUUGAUGACUAGUCUGUCUCACGUGAUGAUCGGACACGGGCUAGUCGACAUGGAUCAUGUAUCACUUAGAUGACUAGAGGGAUGUCAAUCUAAGUGCGAGUUCAUUAAAUAAUUUGAUUAGAUGAACUUAAUUAUCAUGAACUUAGUCUAACAAUGUCUUUACAGUAUUGUAGAUCCAAUGGCCAAUGCUCCUGUCAACCUCAAUUUCAACACGUUCCUAGAGAAAACCAAGCUGAAAGACGAUGGUAGAAACUAUGUGGACUGAGCUCGUAACUUAAAGCUCAUCCUCAUUGCUUCCAAGAAGGCAUAUGUCCUUGAUGCGUCGCUAGGUGACCCUCCCGUUCCCACGGCAGCCCAGGACGUUCAUAACGCGUGGCAGUCACGAAGUGAUGACUACUCUCUGGUUCAUUGUGGCAUGCUAUACAGUUUAGAACCGGGGCUCAAAAAACGUUUUGAGCAACCUGGAGCAUAUGACAUGUUCGAGGAGCUGAAAUUGGUUUUCCAAGAUCAUGCCCAGAUCAAGAGAUAUGAGGUCUCCGACUAGUUCCUCAGCUGUAAGAUGGAGGAAAAUAGUUCUGUCAGUGAGCACAUACCCAGAAUGUGUGGGUUGCACAACCGUCUGUCUCAGCUGGAAGUUAAUCUUCCGGAUGACGCGGUUAUUGACAGAAUCCUCCAGUCGCUUCCACAUAGCUACAAGAGGUUCGUGAUGAAUUAUAACAUGCAAGGGAUGGAAAAGAACAUUCCCGAGUUAUAUUCAAUGCUGAGAUCAGCGGAGGUGGAAAUCAAGAAGGAACAUCAAGUGUUGAUGGUGAAUAAGACCACUAGUUUAAUAAAAGGCAAGGGUAAAAAGAACUUCAAGAAGGACGGCAAAGAAGUUGCCACGCCCGGUAAAAAGGUUUCCUGGAAGAAGCGCAAGAAUGUCGCAAGCCUGAGACUGAGUGUUGUCAUUGCAAGGGAGCCAGUCACUGGAAGCGAAACUACCCCAAAUACUUAGCGGAUAAGAAGGCCGGAAAUGUCAAAGGUAUAUAUGAUGUACAUGUUAUUGAUGUGUACCUUACCAGCACUCGUAGUAGCUCCUAGGUAUUUGAUACCGGUGUUGUUGCUCACAUUUGCAACUGAAAAACAGGAACUGCAGAAUAAGCAGAGACUGGCAAAGGGCAAUGUGACGAUGCUCGUGGGAAUGGUUCCAAGGUCGAUGUGAUCGUCGUCGGCACGCUACCUCUACAUCUACCUUCGGGAUUAGUUUUAAACCUUAAUAAUUGUUAUUUAGUACUAGCUUUGAGCAUGAACAUUGUAUCUGAAUCUCGUUUGAUGCGAGAUGGCUACUCAUUUAAAUCUUAGAAUAAUGGUUGUUCUAUUUAUAUGAGUGAUAUGUUUUAUGGUCAUGUCCAUCUGGUCAAAGUUUAUUCUUAAUGAAUCUCGAACGUGAUGUUAUGCAUAUUCAUAGUGUGAGUACUAAAAGAUGCAAAAUUAAUAAUGAUAGUCCCACAUACUUGUGGCAUUGCCUCCCUGGUCAUAUCGGCGUCAAACGCAUGAAGAAACUCCAUGCUGACGGACUUUUGGAGUCUCUUGAUAAUGAAUCAUUUGACACGUGCAAGCUGUGCCUCAUGGGUAAGAUGACUAAGACUCUGUUCUCCGGAACAAUGGAGCGAGCAACCAACUUGUUGGAAAUAAUACAUAGCGAUGUAUGCGAUCCAAUGAGCGUUGAGGCUUGCGGUGGCUACCGUUAUGUUCUCACCCUCACUAAUGACUUAAGCAGAUAUGGGUAUGUCUACGUAAUGAAACACAAGUCUGAAACCUUUGAAAGGUUCAAGGAAUUUCAGAGUGAGGUUGAAAAUCAACGUGACAAGAAAAUAAAGUGCCUACGAUCUGAUCAUGGAGGAGAAUAUUUGAGUCACGAGUUUGGCACACACUUAAGAAAAUGUGGAAUUGUUUCACAACUCAUGCUGCCUGGCACACCUCAGUGUAAUGGUGUGUCUGAGCGUCGUAAUCGCACUCUAUUGGAUAUGGUGUAAUCUAUGAUGUCUAUUACUGAUUUAUCGCUAUCAUUUUGGGGAUACGCAUUGGAAACUUCCGCAUUCACUUUAAAUAGGGCACCGUCUAAAUCCGUUGAGAUGACACUGUAUGAAUUAUGCUUUGGGAAGAAACCUAAGCUGUCGUUUCUGAAAGUUUGGGGCUAUGAUGCUUAUGUGAAGAAACUUCAACGUGAGAAGCUCAAACCCAAAGCGAAAAAUGCGUCUUCAUAGGAUACCCUAAGGAAACUAUUGCGUAUACCUUCUAUCUUAGAUUCGAAGGAAAAUCUUUGUUGCCAAGAACGGAUCCUUUCUAGAGAAAGAGUUUCUCUCAAAAGAAGUAAGUGGGAGGAAAAUAGAACUUGAUGAGGUAACUGAAAUCCCUCUUGAACUAGAAAGUAGCGCAGCGUGGGAAAUUGUUCCCGUGGUGCCUGCACCGACUAGAGAGGAAGUUAAUGACGAUGAUCAUGAAACUUCGGAUCAAGUUACUACUGAACCUCUAAGGUCCACAAGGAUAUGUUCCGCACCAGAGUGGUUCGACAACCCAGUCCUAGAAAUAAUGUUGUUAGACAACGGUGAACCUUCGAACUAUGAAGAAGCAAUGGUCGGCCCGGAUUCCAACAAAUGGCUUGAAGCCAUGAAAUUCGAGAUAGGAUCCAUGUAUGAGAACAAAGUAUGGACUUUUGUGGACUUGCCCAAUGAUCAGCAAUCCACAGAAAAUAAAUGGGUCUUUAAGAAGAAUACUGACGCAGAUGGUAAUGUGACCGUCUAUAAGGCUGAGCUUGUCGCUAAGGGUUACCGACAAGUUCAAGGAGUUGACUACGAUGAGACUUUCUCACCCAUAGCGAUGUUGAAGUUCGUCCGAAUCAUGUUAGCAAUUGCCGCAUUUUAUGAUUAUGAGAUCUAGCAAAUGGACGUCAAAACGACAUUCCUUAACAGUUUCCUUAAGGAAGAAUUGUAUAUGAUGCAUCCAGAAGGUUUUGUCGAUCCUAAGAGUGCUGACAAGGUAUGCGAGCUCCAACGCUCCAUCUAUGGGCUGGUGCAAGCAUCUCAAAGUUGGAACAUUCACUUUAAUGAGGUGAUUAAAUCGUUCGGGUUUAUGCAGACUUAUUGAAAAGCCUGCAUUUACAAGAAAGUGAGUGGGAGCUCUGUAGCAUUCCUCAUUUUAUAUGUGGACGACAUAUUGCCGAUGGAAAAUGAUAUAGAACUUUUGGAAAGCGUAAAAGCCUACUUGAAUAAGUAUUUUUCAAUGAAGGACCUUGGGGAAGCUGCUUACAUAUUAGGCAUCAAGAUCUAUAUAGAUAGAUCGAGAUGCCUCAUAGGUCUUUCACAAAACACAUACCUUGACAAGAUAUUGAAGAAGUUCAAUAUGGAUAAGUCUAAGAAGGUGUUAUUGCAUGUAUAGCAAGGUAUGAGAUUGAGUAAGACUCAAUGCCCGACCAAAGCACAAGAUAGAGAAAAGAUGAGUAACAUCCCCUAUGCUUCAGUCGUAGGCUCUAUUAUGUAUGCCAUAGUGUGUACCAGACCUGAUGUGAACCUUGCCAUGAGUUUGGUAGGGAGGUACCAAAGUGAUCCUGGUAUGGAACGCUGGACAACGGUCAAUAAUAUCCUAAAGUACCUGAAAAGGACUAAAGAUAUGUUUCUCGUUUAUGGAGGUGCCGAAGAGCUCGUCGUAAAGGGUUACGCCGAUGAUAGCUUCGACAGAGAUCCGGAUGACUCCAAGUCACAAAUCGGAUACGUGUAUGUUUUGAAUGGUGGGGUAGUCAGCUGGUGCACUUUUAAGCAAGGCGUCGUGGCGGCAUCUACAUGUGAAGCAGAGUACAUAGCUGCUGCAGAAGCAGCGCAUGAAGGGAUCUGGAUGAAGGACUUCAUCACUGACCUAGGAGUAAUUCCCAGUGCGUCGGGCCCGAUGACUCUCUUGUGUGAUAACACUGGAGCUAUUGUCAUAGCCAAGGAGCCCAAGCACAUCAAGCGCUGCUUCAACUCCAUCCGUGAUUACAUUCAGGAAGGAGAUAUAGAUAUUUGUAAAGUACAUGCAGAUCUGAAUGUUGUAGAUCUUUUGAGUAAACCUCUUCCGCGAGCGAAACAUGAUCAACACCAGAACUCUACGGGUGUUCGUUUCAUCACAAUGUAACUAGAUUAUUGACUCCAGUGCAAGUGGGGGACUGUUGGAAAUAUGCCCUAGAGGCAAUAAUAAAGUGGUUAUUAUUAUAUUUCCUUGUUCAUAAUAAUUGUCUAUUGUUCAUGCUACAAUUGUAUUAAGAGGAAACAGUAAUACAUGUGUGAAUAUAUAGACCACACCAAGUCCCUAGUGAGCCUCUAGUUGACUAGAUGGUGGAUCAAUAGAUGGUCAUGGUUUCCUGCUCAUGGACAUUGGAUGUCAUUGAUAAUGGGAUCACAUCAUUAGGAGAAUGAUGUGAUGGACAAGACACAAUCCUAAGCAUAGCACAAGAUCGUGUAGUUUGUCUCCUAAAGCUUUUCUAAUGUCAAUUAUCAUUUCCUUAGACCAUGAGAUUGUGCAACUCCCAGAUACCGUAGGAGUGCUUUGGGUGUAUCAAAAGUCACAACGUAACUGGGUGAUUAUAAAGGUGCACUACAGGUAUCUCCGAAAGUGUCUGUUGGGUGGGCACGAAUCGAGACUGGGAUUUGUGACUCCGUAUGACGGAGAGGUAUCUCUGGGAUCACUCGGUAAUACACCAUCCUGUUGAGCUCAAUGUGACUAAGGAGUUAGUCACACGAUCAUGUGUUACAGAACGAGUAAAAGACUUGCGAGUAACGAUAUUGAACAAGGUAUGAGGAUACCGACGAUAGGGUCUCGGGCAAGUUAUAUACCGAUAGACAAAGGGAAUUGCAUACGGGAUUGAUUGAAUCCCCGACAUCGUGGUUCAUCCGAUGAGAUCAUCGUGGAACAUGUGGGAGACAAUAUGGAUAUCCAGAUCCCCCUGUUGGUUAUUAACCGGAGAGGUGUCUCGGUCAUGUCUGCAUGGUUCCCGAACCCGUAGGGUCUACACACUUAAGGUUCGAUGACGCUAGAAUUGUAAUGAGAAUAGUAUGUGGUUACCGAAAGUUGUUCAGAGUCCCGGGUGAGAUCCCGGAUGUCACGAGGAGCUCCGGAAUGGUCCGGAGGUAAAGAUUCAUAUAUAGGAAGUGGAUAUUAGAUCACCGGAAAUGUUUCAAGGAUCAUCUGUAUUGUACUGGGACCACCAUAAGGGUUUCGAGGGUCCACCGGGAGGGGCCACCAGCCCCGGAGAGCCACGUAGGCCAAAAGUGGAAGGGAACCAGCCGCUAGAUGGGUUGGUGCGCCACCCACCAAGGCCCAAGGCGCCUAGGGCUGGUUACCCUAGGGCGUGGAGGUGGCCCACCUCCAACUUGGGAGGCAAGCCACCUCCCACCUGGCAACCGUCCCCUGCUUGGGCCACCGCCCCUCCCAUAUGGGUGGCCGCCGCCCCUCCUAGGGUUUCCUAGGGUGGCCGGCCUGCCCUUCCCCUCCUCCUAUAUAUAUCCAAUGGUUUUGGGGCUGCAACAUGCAAGUUUUCACUCCCUCUCGGCGCAGCCCUACCCUCUCUCUCCAUCCUCCUCCGCGGUGCUUGGCGAAGCCCUGUCGGAGAACCACAUAGCUCCACCGCCACCACACCGUCGUGCUGCCGGAGCUCUCCACCAACUUCCCCUCUCCGCUUUCUGGUUCAAGGUAGACGAGACGUCACCGGGAUGCACGUGUGUUGAACAUGGAGGCACCGUUUGUCGGCCCUUUGGAUCACAUCUACUGCGAUCUGAAUCGCUACGAGUACGACUCCAUCACCCGCGUUCAUAGUAACGCUUCCGCUUAGCAAUCUUCAAAAGUAUGAAGAUCAUCUACCCCUUGCUCGUUGCUAGCAUUUCCUAGAUUGAUCUUGGUGUUUCGUAGGAAUUUUUUUGAAUUUCUCCCUCGAGCCCCAACAGUUCCUCCAUCAUCGUGUCUUCUUCUAUUAGUUUGAAUUUUCUAGCGCAUGAACUACCAAGUGAAUUUUCCUAGCUCCGAUGGUUGCGCCACUGAGGAUGCUAUCAGCGAAAAUAAAGGCAAUUUGUACUGGGACGUCUUGGCCGAGCUGCAGGACCUCCGCCUCGACGAGCUGUAGAAUCUCCACCUCGCUCUGGUUUUUGUGGUACGGGCCCUUCCCCACUCCAUCAAAUAGUGACUUAUAUUUUGUUCUGCUUUGUUCUUAGACAAGUGUGGUAAAUUGUAUGGUAAAGUGUGGCAUCUACUACCCCUAUAAAGCACGAAGAGACAGAUCCAAAUCCUCAACUCAGCCAUUUGAUUACAUCAUCAAUGAUCAAAAAUCAUUGUUAACGAAAUUCAUCCCAUCGCUAACGAAGAUAAUCCCAUCGCUGAGGAAACCCACCCCCACUUCAAUGCUCAAGAACCGCUCGCAAACUCAGCCACGCCGCCCGACCUCCCCACCCCCGAUGGUCGCUCGCCUCGUCCAGCCACCGGCCCCGCUCGGCCCACUUGCCCCCACUCGUCGCUCGCCUCGCGCCGUCGCCCUUGUCUCACACAGCCUCGUGCAGUCGCCGCCCCCGCCUCGUGCAGCCACCGCCACCACCUUGCGCAGCCUCACGCCGUCCUCUCUGCUCACCCGGACAAGCGGGACAAGGGCACCGUUCAAGGAGAGGACAGGGGCGAUCGCGGUGAACCCUCCGUUCAUGGUACUGUAACGUCCAAGAUGUGGCACUAUCCAUAUUUGGGGAUUAGGUCUUAAUAUGGAUAGAGGCACAUCUUAGCGUUUCGCAAGUACAUAAAUCACCGCAAUACAUUUAUGAAGAGAAGAGUAUAUUGAUUAGCUUACACUCGCCACAAGUUAAGUUACAAGCCACACAACAUUAGUUCAAUCAUCCUAAGACCGGGUCCGGCUACAGACAAGAUAAAUGAUAAAAUGCAAUGACUCUGCCUCGUUAGUCUAGGAAACGAGCAAGGUCCUCUAAUCAUCGGGGUACAUUACGUACAAGCGCCCACUGCCUUCAUCGAAAUCCCAUUGAAGAUCGAUAACCCACAAGUAUAGGGGAUCGCAACAGUUUUCGAGGGUAGAGUAUUCAACCCAAAUUUAUUGAUUCAACUCAAGGGGAAGCGAAAGAAUAUUCUCAAGUAUUAGCAGUUGAGCUGUCAAUUCAACGACACCUAAAAGAUUUAGUAUCAGUAGCAAAGUAGGGUGAUAGCAGCAGUAGCAACAGUAACCAGUAGCAGCAAAGUAACAACAGUAGGAACAGAGUAACAACAGCAGCAGUCACAGCAGUAGCGGCAAAGUAACGUAGCAAGGACCAGUAGAAAAAGACUCGUAGGCAUUGGAUCAGUGAUGGAUGAUUAUGCCGGAUGUGAUUGAUCAUGCAACAGUUAUAACACGGAGAGAUAAGUAAAUAGCUCCAGUUCGUCAAUCUAAUGUAGGCAUGUAUUCCGCAUGUAGUCAUACGUGCUUAGGGAAAAUAACUUGCAUGACAUCUAUUGUCCAUCCCUCCCAUGGCAGCGGGGUCCUAAUGGAAACUACAGGAUAUUAAGGUUCUCCUUUGAAUAAAGAACCGGACCAAUGCAUUAACACUUGGUGAAUACAUGAACUCCUCAUACUAUGGUCAUCUCCGGGAGUGGUUCCGGCUAUUGUCACUCCGGGGUUGCAGGGUCAUAACACAUAGUAGGUGACUACAACUUGCAAGAUAGGAUCUAAAACACACAUAUAUUGGCGACAACAUAAUAGGUUCAGAUCUGAAAUCAUGGCACUCGAGCCCUAGUGACAAGCAUUAAGCAUGGCAAAGUAGUAGCAACAUCAAUCUCAGAACAUAGUGGAUACUAGGGAUCAAUUCCCGUCAAAACUAACUCGAUUACAUGAUAGAUCUCAUCCAACCCAUCACCGUCUAGAAAGCCUACGAAUAGAUUACUCACGAACGGUGAAGAGCAUCAUGGAAUUGGCGAUGAAGGAAGGUUGGUGAUGACGAUGGCGUCAAAGUUUGUUUUCUUGUGCUAAUGAUAUCACGAGUUUCUGUUUAAGUUUUGUGUUGUGAAGUUUUCAAGUUUUGGGUGAUGAUCUCAUGGACAAAGGGAUAAAGAGUGGAAAGAGCUCAAGCUUGGGGAUGCCCAAGGCAUCCCAAGCCAAAUUCAAGGACACCAAAAAGCCUAAGCUGGGGGAUGCCCCGGGAAGACAUCCCCUCUUUCGUCUCCAAUCCAUCGGUAAUAUUACUUGGAGCUAUAUUUUUAUUCACCACAUGAUAUGUGUUUUGCUUGGAGCGUCUUGUAUCAUAGGAGUCCUUUAUUUUUGUUGUGUCACAAUCAUCCUUGCUGCACACCUUUUGAGAGAGACAUGCACUCAUCGUGAAUUUUCUAGAAUACUCAUUGAGCUUCGCUUAUAUCUUUUGAGUUAGGCAAUUUAGCUCAUUGUGCUUCACUUAUAUCUUUUGAUCUAGAUAACUUUUCUCUUUGUGCUUCACUUAGAUCUUUUAGAGCACGGCGGUGUCAUAUUUUGGAGAAAUAAGAACUCUCGAUCUUCACUUAUAUCUUUUUGAGAGUGCUCUCUCUGAGUAACUUGGUAGUUGGCUUGUGUUAUGAAAGUAGUCCGAAAGAUGAUAGGCGCCCAAAGAGGAUACAAUAAAACUUCCAUAUUCAUGUGCAUUGAUUAGAAAGAGAAGUUUGAUUCCUCUCAAAUAGUUUUGAGACAUGGAUUUGGUAAUAUUAAGAGUUAUGCUAGUAGGGUGUUGUGAAUCUAGAAAUACUUGUGUUGAAGUUAGUGAUUCCCGUAACAUGCACGUAUGGUGGACCGCUAUGUUAGGAAGUCGGAGCAUAUUUGAUUUAUUGAUUGUCAUCCUUUGUGUUGCGGUCGGGAUUGCGCGAUGGUUAACACCUACCAACCCUUCCCCUAGGAGUAUGCGUUUAGCACUUUGUUUCGAUUACUAAUAAAAACUUUCGCAAUAAGUAUGUGAGUUCUUCAUGACUAAUGUGAGUCCAUGGUAUAGAUACACUUUCACCUUCCACCAUUGCUAGCCUCUCUAGUGCCGUGCAACUUUCGUCGGUACACAAAACCACAAUAUGCCUUCCUCAAAACAACCACCAUACCUACCUACUAUGGCAUUUUCAUAGCCAUUCCGAGAUAUAUUGCCAUGCAACUCCCACCGUUCGGUCUCAUGACUUGUGUCGUNNNNNNNNNNNNNNNNNNNNNNNNNNNNNNNNNNNNNNNNNNNNNNNNNNNNNNNNNNNNNNNNNNNNNNNNNNNNNNNNNNNNNNNNNNNNNNNNNNNNGUGAUCUCAUCCGGGACUCCGAACAACAUUCGGUAACCAACCAUAUAACUCAAAUACGCAUAAAACAACGUCGAACCUUAAGUGUGCAGACCCUGCGGGUUCGAGAACUAUGUAGACAUGACCCGAGUGACUCCUCGGUCAAUAUCCAAUAGCGGGACCUGGAUGCCCAUAUUGGAUCCUACAUAUUCUACGAAGAUCUUAUCGUUUGAACUUCAGUGCCAAGGAUUCAUAUAAUCCCGUAUGUCAUUCCCUUUGUCCUUCGGUAUGUUACUUGCCCGAGAUUCGAUCGUCAGUAUCCGCAUACCUAUUUCAAUCUCGUUUANCCGGCAAGUCUCUUUACUCAUUCCGUAAUACAAGAUCCCGCAACUUACACUAAGUCACAUUGCUUGCAAGGCUUGUGUGUGAUGUUGUAUUACCGAGUGGGCCCCGAGAUGCCUCUCCGUCACACGGAGUGACAAAUUCCAGUCUCGAUCCAUACUAACUCAACGAACACCUUCGAAGAUACCUGUAGAGCAUCUUUAUAGUCACCCAGUUACGUUGCGACGUUUGAUACACACAAAGCAUUCCUCNNNNNNNNNNNNNNNNNNNNNNNNNNNNNNNNNNNNNNNNNNNNNNNNNNNNNNNNNNNNNNNNNNNNNNNNNNNNNNNNNNNNNNNNNNNNNNNNNNNNACGGUGCCCUAUUUAAAGUGAAUGCUGCAGUUUCUAAUGCGUAUCCCCAAAAUGAUAGCGGUAAGUCGGUAAGAGACAUCAUAGAUCGUACCAUAUCUAAUAAAGUGCGAUUAUGACAUUCACACACCCCAUUACGUUGCGGUGUGCCAAGCGGCGUCAGUUGUGAAACGAUUCCACACUUCCUUAGGUGUGUGCCAAACUCGUGACUCAAAUAUUCUCCUCCACAAUCAGAUCGUAGACAUUUAAUUUUUUCUGUCACGUUGAUUCUCAACCUCACUCUGAAAUUCCUUGAACUUUUCAAACGUCUCAGAUUUGUGCUUCAUCAAGUAGAUAUACCCAUACCUACUCAAAUCAUCGGUGAGAGUGAGAACAUAACGAUAACCACCGCGAGCUUCAACGUUCAUUGGACCACACACAUCAGUAUGUAUUAUUUCCAAUAAGUCGGUUGCUCUCUCCAUUAUUCCUGAGAAUGGAGUCUUAGUCAUCUUGCCCAUGAGGCACAGUUCGCAUGUGUAAAAUGAUUCAAAGUCAAGAGACUCUAAUAGUCCAUCAAUAUGGAGCUUCUUCAUGCGCUUAACGCCGAUAUGACCAAGGCGGCAGUGCCACAAGUAUGUGGGACUGUCAUUAUCAACUUUACAUCUUUUGGUACUCACACUAUGAAUAUGUGUAACAUCACGAUCGAGAUUCAUCAAGAAUAAACCAUUCANNNNNNNNNNNNNNNNNNNNNNNNNNNNNNNNNNNNNNNNNNNNNNNNNNNNNNNNNNNNNNNNNNNNNNNNNNNNNNNNNNNNNNNNNNNNNNNNNNNNAGGUUGACUCGACGAGCUUAGCAUGUACAGACAUGACCUCGAAUACAAGAGACCGAAAGGUCGAACAUGAGUCGUAUGGUUGAAUACGAUCAGCAUGAAGUUGCUCACCAUGGUGACUAGUCCGUCUCACGUGAUGAUCGGACACGGGUUAGUCAACAUGGAUCAUGUAUCACUUAGAUGACUAGAGGGAUGUCGAUUUAAGUGGGAGUUCAUACUUAAUUUGAUUAAAUGAAAUUAAUUGUCAUGAACUUAGUCUAAAAGUUGUCUUUAUAAAUAUUGUAGAUGUCCAACGUCAACCUCAAUUUCAACGCAUUCCUAGAGAAAAACAAGCUGAAAGAUGAUGGUAGCAACUAUGCGGACUGGGUUUGCAACUUGAAGCUCAUCCUCGAAGCAGCUAAAAAGGCUUAUGUCCUUAAUGCGCCGCUAGGUGACCCUCCCGCUCCCGCAGCAGCCCAGGACAUUCUGAACGUCUGGCAAACGCGGAGUGAUGACUACUCUCUGGUCAGGUGUGGCAUGUUAUACAGUUUAGAAACGGGGCUCCAAAGGCGUUUUGAGCAACAUGGGGCAUAUGAGAUGUUCCAGGAGCUACAGCUAGUUUUUCAAGCUCAUGCCCGUGUCGAGAGAUAUGAAGUCUCCGACAAGUUCUUCAGCUGUAAGAUGGAGGAGAACAGUUCUGUCAGUGAGCACAUACUCAAAAUGUCUGGGUUACACGGUCGUCUGACUUCACUUGGAGUCGAACUUCCGGAUGAUGCUAUUAUUGACAGAAUCCUCCAGUCUCUCCCACCAAGCUACAAAGGCUUUGUGCUUAACUACAAUAUGCAAGGGAUGGAGAAGACCAUUCCCGAGUUGUACUCGCUGCUCAACUCUGCAGAAGUAGAAAUCAAGAAAGAGCAUCAAGUCUUGAUGGUCAACAAGACCACUAGUUUCAAGAAAGGCAAGGGUAAGAAGAACUUCAAGAAAGACGGCCAAGCUGUUGCCGCGCCCGGUAAGCCAGAUGCCGGGAAGAAGAAAAAGAACGGACCCAAGCCUGAGACUGAGUGCUUCUAUUGCAAGGGAAAGGGUCACUNNNNNNNNNNNNNNNNNNNNNNNNNNNNNNNNNNNNNNNNNNNNNNNNNNNNNNNNNNNNNNNNNNNNNNNNNNNNNNNNNNNNNNNNNNNNNNNNNNNNUCUCUCCUACUCUAGUCGGAUUGGAUUUGAUGAAAAGGGUCCUUAUGAAGGGUAAAUAGCUUUGGCAUAUAAUCGUUGUGGCUGUCACGUAGGUAAGAAGGCGUUCUUGCUAGAAACCCAAAUCAGCCACGUAAAACUUGCAACAACAAUUAGAGGACGUCUAACUUGUUUUUGCAGGGUUUGACAUGUGAUGUGAUAUGGCCAAAGUUGUGAUGUUGCAUGUAUAAUGUAUGAGAUGAUCAUGUUAUUGUAAUAGGUUUCACGACUUGCAUGUCGAUGAGUAUGACAACCGGCAGGAGCCAUAGGAGUUGUCUUAAUUUAUUGUAUGAGAUGCAACGCCAUGUGCUUACUACUUUUACUUCAUUGCUAACAGUUAGCUAUAGUAGUAGUGAUAGUAGUAGUUGGCGUGACGACAUCACAGAGACACGAUGAUGGAGAUCAUGAUGAUGGAGAUCAUGGUGUCACGCUGGUGACGAUGAUGAUCAUGCGAUGCCUGAAGAUGGAGAUCGAAAGAGCAAAGAUGAUAAUGGCCAUAUCAUGUCACUAUAUGAUUGCAUUGUGAUGUUUAUCAUGUUUUACAUCUUAUUGCUUAAAACGACGGUAGCAUAAUAAGAUGAUCCCUCUUAAAAUUUCAAGAACGUAUUCCCCUAAGUGUGCACCGUUGCGAAGGUUCAUUGUCUCGAAGCACCACGUGAUGAUCGGGUGUGAUAGAUUCUAACAUUCGCAUACAACCGGUGUAAGCCAGAUUUACACACGCGAAACACCUAGGUUGACUCGACGAGCUUAGCAUGUACAGACAUGACCUCGAAUACAAGAGACCGAAAGGUCGAACAUGACUCGUAUGGUUGAAUACGAUCAGCAUGCAGUUGCUCACCAUGGUGACUAGUCCGUCUCACGUGAUGAUCGGACACGGGUUAGUCAACAUGGAUCAUGUAUCACUUAGAUGACUAGAGGGAUGUCGAUUUAAGUGGGAGUUCAUACUUAAUUUGAUUAAAUGAAAUUAAUUGUCAUGAACUUAGUCUAAAAGUUGUCUUUAUAAAUAUUGUAGAUGUCCAACGUCAACCUCAAUUUCAACGCAUUCCUAGAGAAAAACAAGCUGAAAGAUGAUGGUAGCAACUAUGCGGACUGGGUUNNNNNNNNNNNNNNNNNNNNNNNNNNNNNNNNNNNNNNNNNNNNNNNNNNNNNNNNNNNNNNNNNNNNNNNNNNNNNNNNNNNNNNNNNNNNNNNNNNNNAAUACCCAGGAGCUACUACGAGCGCUGGUAAGGUACACAUCAAUAACAUGUAUAUCACAUAUACCUUUAACGUUGCCGGCCUUCUUGUCCGCUAAGUAUUUGGGGCAGUUCCGCUUCCAGUGACCCUUUCCCUUGCAAUAGAAGCACUCAGUCUCAGGCUUGGGUCCGUUCUUUUUCUUCUUCCCGGCAUCUGGCUUACCGGGCGCGGCAACAGCUUGGCCGUCUUUCUUGAAGUUCUUCUUACCCUUGCCUUUCUUGAAACUAGUGGUCUUGUUGACCAUCAAAACUUGAUGCUCUUUCUUGAUUUCUACUUCUGCAGAAUUGAGCACCGAGUACAACUCGGGAAUGGUCUUCUCCAUCCCUUGCAUGUUGUAGUUAAGCACAAAGCCUUUGUAGCUUGGUGGGAGAGACUGGAGGAUUCUGUCAAUUAUAGCAUCAUCCGGAAGUUCGACUCCAAGUGAAGUCAGACGACCGUGUAACCCAGACAUUUUGAGUAUGUGCUCACUGACAGAACUGUUCUCUUCCAUCUUACAGCUAAAGAACUUGUCGGAGACUUCAUAUCUCUCGGCACGGGCAUGAGCUUGAAAAACUAGCUUCAUCUCCUGGAACAUCUCAUAUGCCUCAUGUUGCUCAAAACGCCUUUGGAGCCCCGUUUCUAAACUGUAUAACAUGCUACACCUAACCAGAGAGUAGUCAUCACUCCGCGUUUUCCAGACGUUCAGAAUGUCCUGGGCUGCUGCGGGAGCGGGAGGGUCACCUAGCGGCGCAUCAAGGACAUAAGCCUUUUUAGCUGCUUCAAGGACGAGCUUCAAGUUGCGAACCCAGUCCGCAUAGUUGCUACCAUCAUCUUUCAGCUUGUUUUUCUCUAGGAAUGCGUUGAAAUUGAGGUUGACGUUGGACAUCUACAAUAUUUAUAAAGACAACUUUUAGACUAAGUUCAUGACAAUUAAGUUCAUUUAAUCAAAUUAAAUAUGAACUCCCACUUAAAUCGACAUCCCUCUAGUCAUCUAAGUGAUACAUGAUCCAUGUUGACUAACCCGUGUCCGAUCAUCACGUGAGACGGACUAGUCACCAUGGUGAGCAACUCCAUGCUGAUCGUAUUCAACCAUACGAAUCAUGUUCGACCUUUCGGUCUCUUGUAUUCGAGGUCAUGUCUGUACAUGCUAAGCUCGUCGAGUCAACCUNNNNNNNNNNNNNNNNNNNNNNNNNNNNNNNNNNNNNNNNNNNNNNNNNNNNNNNNNNNNNNNNNNNNNNNNNNNNNNNNNNNNNNNNNNNNNNNNNNNNGCGGAGACUGGCCAAGGACGAGGUGACGAUGCGCGUCGGGAAUGGUUCAAAGGUCGAUGUGAUCGCCGUCAGCACGCUGCCUCUACAUCUACCGUCGGGAUUAGUUUUAAACCUUAAUAAUUGUUAUUUAGUACCAGCUUUAAGCAUGAACAUUGUAUCAGGGUCUUGCUUAAUGCGAGACGGCUACUCAUUUAAGUCAGAGAAUAAUGGUUGUUCUAUUUAUAUGAGUGAUAUGUUUUAUGGUCAUGCUCCGCUGGUGAAUGGUUUAUUCUUGAUGAAUCUCGAUCGUGAUGUUACACAUAUUCAUAGUGUGAGUACCAAAAGAUGCAAAGUUGAUAAUGAUACUCCCACAUACUUGUGGCACUGCCGCCUUGGUCAUAUCGGCGUUAAGCGCAUGAAGAAGCUCCAUACUGAUGGACUAUUAGAGUCUCUUGACUUUGAAUCAUUUGACACAUGCGAACCGUGCCUCAUGGGCAAGAUGACUAAGACUCCAUUCUCAGGAAUAAUGGAGAGAGCAACCGACUUAUUGGAAAUAAUACAUAUUGAUGUGUGUGGUCCAAUGAACGUUGAAGCUCGCGGUGGUUAUCGUUAUGUUCUCACUCUCACCGAUGAUUUGAGUAGGUAUGGGUAUAUCUACUUGAUGAAGCACAAAUCUGAGACGUUUGAAAAGUUCAAGGAAUUUCAGAGUGAGGUUGAGAAUCAACGUGACAGAAAAAUUAAAUGUCUACGAUCUGAUCGUGGAGGAGAAUAUUUGAGUCACGAGUUUGGCACACACCUAAGGAAGUGUGGAAUCGUUUCACAACUGACGCCGCCUGGCACACCGCAGCGCAACGGAGUGUCUGAACGUCGUAAUCGCACUUUAUUAGAUAUGGUACGAUCUAUGAUGUCUCUCACCGACUUACCGCUAUCAUUUUGGGGAUACGCAUUAGAAACUGCAGCAUUCACUUUAAAUAGGGCACCGUCUAAAUCCGUUGAGACGACACCGUAUGAACUAUGGUUUGGCAAGAAACCUAAGUUGUCGUUUCUUAAAGUUUGGGGCUGCGAUGCUUAUGUGAAGAAACUUCAACUAGAAAAGCUCCAACCCAAAGAGGAGAAAUGCGUAUUCAUAGGAUACCCUAAGGAAACUAUUGGGUAUACCUUCUAUCUUAGAUCCGAAGGUAAAACCUUUGUUGCCAAGAACGGAUCCUUUCUAGAGAAAGAGUUUCUCUCGAAAGAAGUAAGUGGGAGGAAGGUAAAACUUGAUGAGGUAAUUGCACCCCCUCUCGAACAGGAAAGUAGCGCAGCGCGGGAAGUUGUUCCUGUGGCGCCUAUACCGAAUGAAGAGGAAGUUAAUGAUGAUGAUCAUGAAGCUUCGGAUCAAGUUACUACUGAACCGCGAAGGUCCACAAGGGCACGCUCCGCACCAGAGUGGUACGGCAACCCUGUGAUGGAAAUCAUGUUGUUAGACAAUGGUGAGCCUUCGAACUAUGAAGAAGCAAUGGCGGGCCCGGAUUCCAACAAAUGGCUUGAGGCUAUGAAAUCCGAGAUAGGAUCCAUGUAUGAGAACAAAGUAUGGACUUUGGUGGACUUGCCCGAUGACCGGCGAGCCAUAGAAAAUAAAUGGAUCUUCAAGAAGAAGACUGAUGCAAACGGUAAUGUAACCGUUUACAAAGCUCGACUUGUCGCAAAGGGUUUUCGACAAAUUCAAGGAGUUGACUACGAAGAGGCUUUCUCUCCCGUAGCGAAGCUGAAAUCAGUUCGAAUCAUGUUAGCAAUUGCCGCCUUUUAUGAUUAUGAAAUUUGGGAAAUGGACGUCAAAACAGCGUUCCUUAACGGGAACCUUAAGGAAGAGUUGUAUAUGAUGCAACCAGAAGGUUUUGUCGACCCUAAGGGUGCUAACAAAGUGUGCAAGCUCCAGCGCUCCAUCUAUGGGCUGGUGCAAGCAUCUCGGAGUUGGAACAUUCGCUUUAAUGAGGUAAUUAAAGCGUUUGGGUUCAUACAGGUUUACGGAGAAACCUGUCUGUACAAGAAAGUGAGUGGGAGCUCUGUAGCUUUCCUCAUACUAUAUGUGGAUGACAUAUUAUUGAUGGGGAAUAAUAUAGAGAUGUUGGAGAGCAUAAAGGCCUAUUUGAACAAGAGUUUUUCAAUGAAGGACCUUGGAGAAGCUGCAUACAUAUUAGGCAUCAAGAUCUAUAGAGAUAGAUCGAGACGCCUCAUAGGUCUUUCGUAAAGUACAUACCUUGACAAGAUAUUGAAGAAGUUCAAUAUGGAAAACUCAAAGAAAGGGUCAUUGCCAGUUUUGCAAGGUAUGAGAUUGAGUAAGACUCAGUCGCCGACCACGGCAGUAGAUAGAGAGAAGAUGAGUUAUGUCCCCUACGCUUCAGCCGUGGGCUCUCUAAUGUAUGCCAUGUUGUGUACCAGACCUGAUAUAAACCUUGCCAUAAGUUUGGUAGGGAGGUACCAAAGUAAUCCCGGUACGGAACACUCGACAGCGGUCAAGAAUAUCCUUAAGUACCUGAAAAGGACUAAGGAAAUAUUUCUCGUUUAUGGAGGUGACGAAGAGCUCGUCGUAAAGGGUUACGUCGACGCUAGCUUCGACAUAGAUCCGGAUGACUCUAAGUCACAGACCGGAUACGUAUAUGUGUUGAAUGGUGGGGCAGUGAGCUGGUGCAACAGCAAGCAAGAAGUCGUGGCAGCAUCUACAUGUGAAGCGGAGUACAUAGCUGCUUCAGAAGCGGCUCAUGAAGGAAUUUGGAUGAAGGAGCUCAUCACUGACCUUGGAGUGGUUCCAAGCGCGUCGGGUCCCAUGACACUCUUCUGUGAUAACACUGGAGCCAUUGCCAUAGCCAAGGAGCCCAGGUUUCACUGAAAGACGAAGCACAUCAAGCGCCGCUACAACUCCAUCCAGGACCAUGUCCAGAGUGGAGUGAUAGAUAUUUGUAAAGUACACACGGAUCUGAAUAUUGCAGACCCGUUGACUAAACCUCUUCCACGAGCAAAACAUGAUCAACACCAUAAUGCUAUGGGUGUUCGAUACAUCACAAUGUAACUAGAUUAUUGACUCUAGUGCAAGUGGGAGACUGUUGGAAAUAUGCCCUAGAGGCAAUAAUAAAAUGGUUAUUAUCAUAUUUCCUCGUUCAUGAUAAUCGUCUAUUGUUCAUGCUAUAAUUGUAUUAACAGGAAACAGUAAUACAUGUGUGAAUAAAUAGAUCACAAUGUGUCCCUAGGAAGCCUCUAGUUGGCUAGCUCGUUAGUCAAUAGAUGAUCAUGGUUUCCUGAUCAUGGGCAUUAGAUGUCAUUGAUAACGGGAUCACAUCAGUGGGAGAAUGAUGUGAUGGACAAGACCCAAUCCUAAGCCUAGCACUAGAUCGUAUUGUUCGUAUGCUAAUGCUUUUCUAAUGUCAAGUAUCUUUUCCUUCGACCGUGAGAUUGUGCAACUCCCAGAUGCCGUAGGAGUGCUUUGGGUGUAUCAAACGUCACAACGUAACUGGGUGACUAUAAAGGUGCACUACGGGUAGGGGGGGGGGGGGGGGUUGGGUUGGUACGAAUCGAGAUCGGGAUUUGUCACUCCGUGUGACGGAGAGGUAUCUCUGGGCCCACUCGGUAGAACAUCAUCAUGAGCUCAAUGUGACUAAGGAGUUAGUCACACGAUGAUGUGCUACGGAACGAGUAAAGAGACUUACCGGUAACGAGAUUGAACAAGGUAUAGGUAUACCGACGAUCGAAUCUCGGGCAAGUUCUAUACCGACAGACANNNNNNNNNNNNNNNNNNNNNNNNNNNNNNNNNNNNNNNNNNNNNNNNNNNNNNNNNNNNNNNNNNNNNNNNNNNNNNNNNNNNNNNNNNNNNNNNNNNNGGGGGGGGGGGAGGGUGUUAGAUUUGUAUUGCCCCUUUUUUGUAUAUCCCCAUUAUAUAAGGGGUUUCUACCACUUUUACCAUAUGUAUAUAUAUUGGCCUUUGGCCCCUGUGAAUAUUUGCUCAUUAUCUAACAGAUCCAACACAAGGUUGGGUCGAAGCUAGUUUAUAUCUGGGACGUUACACCAACCUCUCAAGCCAAUCCAACAUUGCAGACAGAUUUAUGAUACACUUCCUUUUCACGAGCCCGAGGCAAUGUACCUAUGUCAAAAAAAGUAGGAGUUCGAGGCAAUGUACCUAAUACAAACUGUGAAGCCUUCCCACCUAGGCUAUACAUGAGGUCCUUGAGAUGCUCUAUAAGAUAUCGGUUAAAAGAGAAAACGUCCAAAAUAAGAGAAAUAUAACUAUAUUUUUUUUGUAUUUGUCGCUUCAAAGGAUCAGUAUGUUGGACAAGAAGAGAAGCACUGAAGUAGCAUCACUCAUCAUCAAGGUCAAAAUCGUUGUCCGAUGCGCACUCGAGAUAUGAACCAAUCGACUUGCGGAAGAUGAUGAAAGACUUGUCAUCCUGUGAAAAAAGAAUGCAUUAUUUUGCAGGAAGAGGUGUUUCAAGCCAUGGAACAAAAAAAACUGGCUGGUCAUUCAGCUUUAGGCCUGACGGGUAGCUAAAAAUGAAGUCUAAGAAAUGCAAGCAGUUGUGAAUUUUGCCACACCUGCUUCAUCCUUUUCAGUGAUGGUUUGGCAUUUGUUAUCUUAUCUGAUAAGGUGUCACCAUGUUCUGACAAUGUAGCCGUCUCCUCCCCUGUUUGAAGGAUUUGAGUGUAAGAGCAGCAUAUUUCCAUCCAAGGGAAAUAAUGAAUCCUCUAGCUACUUACUUUGAUAUUCAUACUGCUCAAGCAGUUUCUUUUUCUCAACUUCAAUUUGUGAGGAUAGAUCUGCAUAAUAGGACAUGUAACAAGUCAAAUAAGAGCCAAAUAUUUUUGCAGAUUCAAUGAGAUCUGAACGUCUUUUAUGGGAACAUCAUCCAAAUAAUGCUGAGUCGCUAAUAAGCAGUAGCCAAGCAAUGCAUAUUUAGAAACAACACACAUAAUUUGAAUACAAGUGUCAUGUAGAUUCUAUUUGCAUCAAAACCAGGUAUCUCAAUAUUUUUUCUAAAGAUAAGAAUCACAGCUCAUACGUAGUAGCCGAUUACACCAAAUGAGAAACAACCAUCACACGUCACAAUGCCCUAAAAUCCUAGAUAGACCUGGAUAGAAGCACAUGAUAUACUUGUGAAAAUGACAACCAGCUCUUAUUUGACAUACCUUUGAAGGUUUGUAAGUGUGCAUCAUUUUCUUCGCAGAACAUUUCAUAUGUUUCCUGAAGCUUGGUGUACUCUUCGUUCAAUGAACUUUCACACUGCUAAUAGUGCAAAUUACACGCCAUAAUUCAAUCUUAGGCAAAUCAGCAAGUAAGUCGACAAUUCCAAAGAAUUGUAAACUGUGUACCUCUUUCGAAGUGCUUGACAGUACUUUCAGCAAAUUCUGCCUGCACAUGCAAAUAUAACAGUGACACUACGUUCUAAAUAAAAACGAACAAGCUUCCUUUUCUGACAGAACUGGUUUCAGGCGUAAUUGUUCAUGCAGGCAUCGUUUCACAGUUCACAAGCAAGUGAGUUACCUUUCCUUCUCAAACUUGGACUUGGUAUCUUCAAGCAUAGUCUGAAUAUUGGCUGCAACACUGUCAGGUUUAGAAAAGUAAAGGAAUAAACAGGGUAAGAAGAAGGUAAAAGAAUAAUGAUCAGCAACAUUAUGCGCUUCAAACUUCACAGUUCAGUCAGCGGAGUCCCUGUUAGUCCACAUGUUAUAAUUUUCGGCUUCUUUUCCUCCCCGAUGCCUGUGUAAAUAAUUCUUUGUAAUAGUUCUGAGAAGUUUAUAGAAAUGUUCAGGCUGGCUUUGCCGGCCGUAGUUCUGAAAAUCAACUCACCCGAACAAAGCCACACCAUGACAUAAGUACAAAACAUGAAUCCGGGAACCCAUCAAAUUAAUAUGUCCAUUUUCCUCGCAUCACUCACAAUGCAUAUCGCUCCGCAUAAUAUACAAAAACUGACAUAUCACCGAACGAACCUAGUUCCUGCAUUAAUCACAGAAACAGCCGAGUGGACGCAUUGCAGGAUUGCAAACGUGCAACAUUUAUUUGUAUCCCUCCCAGUGACCAUGAACUGUAAGUUUUCCACACAAAUCCGCCAGCACGAAAUGCAUCAUAAGAAGCUGCUAGGAUAGCAUACGCCGAUCCCAAUUUUUUUGCACGCUAGCACAUAGCGAGAUAAGAGAAAAUUUAGAGGUGCAAGUGCAACCGAAAGAACACUGUUCUCCGCACCUGGCGAUGAUCUGCUCGCACAUCUUCUGGCCAGCCUUGUUGGUCCCGCCCUUGAUCAACCGCAGCAGGCACGCGAUCUGCCUCAAGUCGCUGCGCCCGCCACAAAAGUAGCCAUCACGGAGUUAAAGCGAGAAGGAAUUAGAAACGGGAGACACCGAAUCGAAGAGGAAAAGCUCGAAAUCAGAUGUGCGGCACCUGACGAAAUCGCCGUCAGAUUCCGAGCCGGAGCUGGAGCCGGAAUCGGAACCGGAGCCGAAAUCCACGGGGUGGCGCGGCCUCUUCGACGACCGCAGAGCCUCUUCACCCAGGGACAUCCUCCUUCCGCCGCCGGGACUCGCCGCGGGCCGCAUCGCUGGUCGACGAGCGUAGUGCAGCGCAAUUCGAAAUUUGGAGGGGGAGCGAGAGGGUAGUGAUGUAAUACUGGCAAAAUUUUGGUGGCCCACUCACAGUAUUGGCUUUUGUAAGGGAAAGUGUUCGUGCGCGCAAGGCUACGAGCAACUAGUUCCUCCUCUUGUAAUUUUUUUUUCCUUCGACGCGUCCGUUGAAGUGUUCGGCCGGUCGCGUUCCUUCCUCACGUUUUUCUUCCACCUUUUCCUUUUCCCCUCCCGCGCACACUCGGAUUUUUUCACUGUUUUAACCUUUUUUCUAAANNNNNNCACAAAAUGAACCAGAUUUGAAACCAUUUCACGAUCUGACCCUUUUAAAAACGCCACAAGCCGUGGCGUUGCUNNNNNNNNNNNNNNNNNNNNNNNNNNNNNNNNNNNNNNNNNNNNNNNNNNNNNNNNNNNNNNNNNNNNNNNNNNNNNNNNNNNNNNNNNNNNNNNNNNNNUGGACAAGAAUACAUGGAGUUACUCAAGCCAUUGAAUCAUUUGACUUUGUUUUCAAUCUUCACUUGAUGCUUGUUAUUCUUGGCUAUACAAAUGAGUUGUCCAAAUCUUUGCAAAAGAGAGAUCAAGAUACUAUUAAUGCAGUGGCACUUGUUAGUUUGGCAAAGAGUAGAAUGCGACACAUGAGGUGUCAUGGUUAGGAAGAAUUUCUUGCAAAGCUAACCCUAUUUUGCCAGAAACAUGACAUUCAAGUUCCUUUGUGGGAGGAUACUUAUGCAGGGGCAGAAUUAGCAUGGGUUCACGUCUAGGGCCAAAUUAGCUUCAGUGGUGUAUUUUAGAGAUUUUUUGUACUUAGUAAGUAGGUAUUACAAAGACUAUUGUCACUACACCUAGGGCUAUAGCCCCAUUUUCCCUAGGCCUGAUUCCAACAUUGUACUUAUGAGCAUCAUGGAAUAUCACGUUGGUAUAAUGAAGUUCAAACAAAUGAUGAUCGUUAUAAAAGAGAAGUAUAUCUUGGUGUCAUUGAUCAAACCAUUCUAUCCCAUGGACAUAUCAAGCACGGAUUUGAUAAGGCUAGAAUUUCAACUUGCUACUUUUAUUGAUGAUACGAGACAAGAUGAUAUUGGUGAGCUCUCUAUUUUACUUGUUGCAACAAAGAAUCAUAUUCUCUAUGAUUUGGUCUACUUACUCAUCAAAUUGAUAUUGAUUUUACCGAUGGCAACAACGAGUGUUGAAAGGGUAUUUUCUGCAAUGAAUCUAGUGAAAAAUAAAUUAAGGACUAGUAUGGGUGAUGAUCGUUUGGUGACAAUUAUUAAGCGAGAUGUGUUCAUGAAAGUAAAUGAAGAUGACAUAGUUGAUGCUUUCAUGACAAUGCAACGACGUAGAGUUACCUAGUGUUGUAAUUUUCUACUUCUGUUACUUUCAUGUAAGUCUUUUCUAUUGUAACUGGGCACAUUUGAAAUACAUUUUAUGUACUAAAUGGUUGUGAGAUUUCAAUUGAGCUAUUUAUGUUACUCAUUUGACAUAUUUUGAUACAUUUGGAUUAGGUAGGAAAAAAAUAGAGUGCGCAUGCCCUUUAUUUUAUUCCUGGGUACCCACACAAUGGAACGCAAAAAUAUCCAGCCGAGCGAGCAGUAAAUCCACCAUACGGGAUGUGCAUACUUAAUACUCCUACAUUGCAACAAAUAAUCGUGAAAAAAAAUGGAAAAAGAAACCAUAUGCGAUCAGGCACAUGACGAAGGAAGGGUCACAUGAAUGAAGAAGAGAGAAAAGCCACAUAUCGACCCGAAUAGCGAAGUGUGGGAGCCGCGAUGGCGGGCACUGGCAGCCAUACAUUGGGCUAUCCAAAAUCUCAUCUCUCGCCCAAUCCCGGCCUCACGAUCUCAAUUCUCACCCCGCGUGCACCACAAGCUCCAAUCCCCUAACUCGUAUAUACAGCCACGCCCGCCUCACCGUCCUUGAUCUUCCCCCCUAUCUGAUCGGAUCCUUUGGACAUGGCGUCGCCCAUGCUCUCCACGGCCAUGGCGCCACUCCAGGUAUUGCUCGUGUUCCAUUUCCAUUCCAUGCUUGCGUAGUAGUACAGUUCUUCCAUGUUUGUGACGCGCGGUGGUUAUGUAACUGGACUGCCAUGCAUCCUCUGUCGAUCCAGGGGGGCAUGCUGGAGUUCUCCGGGCUGAGGAGCUCGUCGUCGCUGCCGCUCCGGCGGAAUGCCACCUCCGACGACUUCAUGUCCGCCGUCUCCUUCAGGACAUACGCGGUAUGAUAUGAAUAUGAUGGGCGGAAUGUGGCUGUCACCUAGGAGUACGUAGCUCGCUUGGUCGCAUGCCAUGAGACAUGAGCGGCGCGUGGUACGGUGGUUGCAGGUGAGCACGAGCGGCGGGUCGCGGAAGGCGCCGACGGAGGCGAAGCUCAAGGUGGCGAUCAACGGGUUCGGGCGCAUCGGGCGCAACUUCCUGCGGUGCUGGCACGGGCGCGGCGACAGCUCGCCGCUGGAGGUGAUCGCCAUCAACGACACCGGAGGCGUGAAGCAGGCGUCCCACCUCCUCAAGUACGACUCCACGCUGGGCAUCUUCGACGCGGACGUCAAGCCCGUGGGCGACAACGCCAUCUCCGUCGACGGCAAGGUGAUCAAGGUCGUGUCCGACCGCAACCCCUCCAACCUGCCGUGGGGCGAGAUGGGCAUCGACCUCGUCAUCGAGGGCACCGGCGUCUUCGUCGACCGCGCCGGCGCGGGCAAGCAUCUCGAGGCCGGAGCCAAGAAGGUGCUCAUCACCGCGCCCGGCAAGGGCGACAUCCCCACCUACGUCUGCGGCGUCAACGCCGACCUCUACACCCACGCCGACACCAUCAUCAGCAACGCCUCAUGCACCACCAACUGCCUCGCCCCCUUCGUCAAGGUCCUCGACCAAAAGUUCGGUACGUGCCCGUCUCCCUCCCUCUCUCUCUCUCUCAACUGAAUCAACUUGUUGACGAUGACUAAUGGCGGCGGUGGCAAUGGCGCAGGCAUCAUCAAGGGAACCAUGACCACAACCCACUCGUACACCGGCGACCAGAGGCUGCUCGACGCGAGCCACCGCGACCUGCGCCGUGCCCGCGCCGCCGCCCUCAACAUAGUGCCGACCUCCACCGGCGCGGCCAAGGCCGUGGCGCUGGUGCUCCCCAACCUCAAGGGCAAGCUCAACGGGAUCGCGCUCCGGGUGCCCACCCCCAACGUGUCCGUCGUCGACCUCGUGGUGCAGGUCUCCAAGAAGACCCUCGCCGAGGAGGUGAACCAGGCGUUCCGCGACGCCGCCGCCAACGAGCUCAAGGGCAUCCUCGACGUCUGCGACGAGCCCCUCGUGUCCGUCGACUUCAGGUGCUCCGACGUCUCCUCCACCAUCGACGCGUCGCUCAGCAUGGUCAUGGGAGACGACAUGGUCAAGGUCAUUGCAUGGUACGACAACGAGUGGGGUUACUCCCAGAGGGUCGUCGACCUCGCCGACAUCGUCGCCAACCAAUGGAAGUGAACGCCCCCCCACAGCGGCAUUGCCCUGUCAAGUGACUCCUCUCGAAAUUUUCCCCAGCCGUCGUCACGGAUGAUCGAUUCUUUGUAAUGAGAAUUCAAAGUAUCGAGCUCCCAACAC
RNAcentral lists this long non-coding RNA (41843 nucleotides) under Hordeum vulgare. RNAcentral describes it as "long non-coding RNA (HVUL_LNC020883)". The record is from RNAcentral. Lineage: Eukaryota; Viridiplantae; Streptophyta; Magnoliopsida; Poales; Poaceae.